This 68-nucleotide transfer RNA is filed under the name Suwallia bimaculata. Its description in RNAcentral is "tRNA-His". The record is from RNAcentral. Lineage: Eukaryota; Metazoa; Arthropoda; Insecta; Plecoptera; Chloroperlidae.
ACUUAGGUAAUUUAAUGUAAAAUUUUGAUUUGUGGUGUCAAGCAUGUGAAUUAAUUUCACCUUAGGUC